This 267-nucleotide ribosomal RNA is filed under the name uncultured prokaryote. RNAcentral describes it as "partial 16S ribosomal RNA". It matches the Rfam family "Bacterial small subunit ribosomal RNA", at positions 524 to 788 of the family's 1533-position model. The record is from RNAcentral.
UACGUAGGUGGCAAGCGUUAUCCGGAAUUAUUGGGCGUAAAGAGCGCGCAGGUGGUUGAUUAAGUCUGAUGUGAAAGCCCACGGCUUAACCGUGGAGGGUCAUUGGAAACUGGUCGACUUGAGUGCAGAAGAGGGAAGUGGAAUUCCUAGUGUAGCGGUGGAAUGCGUAGAUAUUAGGAGGAACACCAGUGGCGAAGGCGACUUUCUGGACUGUAACUGACGCUGAGGCACGAAAGACGUGGGGAGGCAAACAGGAUUAGAUACCCG